Molecule: ribosomal RNA, 706 nt
Filed under: uncultured Enterobacteriaceae bacterium
Lineage: Bacteria; Pseudomonadati; Pseudomonadota; Gammaproteobacteria; Enterobacterales; Enterobacteriaceae
Description: bacterial SSU rRNA
Rfam family: Bacterial small subunit ribosomal RNA
Source: RNAcentral
UCACGCUGUAAACGAUGUCGAUUUGGAGUUUGUUGCCUAGAGUGAUGGGCUCCGAAGCUAACGCGAUAAAUCGACCGCUGGGGAGUACGGCCGCAAGGUUAAAACUCAAAUGAAUUGACGGGGGCCCGCACAAGCGGUGGAGCAUGUGGUUUAAUUCGAUGCAACGCGAAGAACCUUACCUGGUCUUGACAUCCAUAGAAUUCUGCAGAGAUGUGGGAGUGCCUUCGGGAACUAUGAGACAGGUGCUGCAUGGCUGUCGUCAGCUCGUGUUGUGAAAUGUUGGGUUAAGUCCCGCAACGAGCGCAACCCUUAUUCUUUGUUGCCAGCGAUUUGGUCGGGAACUCAAAGGAGACUGCCGUUGAUAAAGCGGAGGAAGGUGGGGACGACGUCAAGUCAUCAUGGCCCUUACGACCAGGGCUACACACGUGCUACAAUGGCGUAUACAAAGGGAAGCGAAGGUGCGAGCUGGAGCGGAUCUCAUAAAGUACGUCUAAGUUCGGAUUGGAGUCUGCAACUCGACUCCAUGAAGUCGGAAUCGCUAGUAAUCGUAGAUCAGAAUGCUACGGUGAAUACGUUCCCGGGCCUUGUACGCACCGCCCGUCACACCAUGGGAGUGGGUUGCACCAGAAGUAGAUAGCUUAACCGCGAGGGGGGCGUUUACCACGGUGUGAUUCAUGACUGGGGUGAAGUCGUAACAAGGUAACCA